This 253-nucleotide ribosomal RNA is filed under the name uncultured bacterium. RNAcentral describes it as "partial 16S ribosomal RNA". It matches the Rfam family "Bacterial small subunit ribosomal RNA", at positions 524 to 776 of the family's 1533-position model. The record is from RNAcentral.
UACGAAGGGGGCUAGCGUUGUUCGGAAUUACUGGGCGUAAAGCGCACGUAGGCGGACUAUUAAGUCAGGGGUGAAAUCCCGGGGCUCAACCCCGGAACUGCCUUUGAUACUGGUAGUCUCGAGUCCGGAAGAGGUGAGUGGAAUUCCUAGUGUAGAGGUGAAAUUCGUAGAUAUUAGGAAGAACACCGGUGGCGAAGGCGGCCCACUGGAUCGGUACUGACGCUGAGGUGCGAAAGCGUGGGGAGCAAACAGG